GACGAACGCUGGCGGCGUGCCUAACACAUGCAAGUCGAGCGAAUGAAGUUCCUUCGGGAAUGGAUUUAGCGGCGGACGGGUGAGUAACACGUGGGCAACCUGCCUCAUAGAGGGGAAUAGCCUUCCGAAAGGGAGAUUAAUACCGCAUAAGAUUGUAGUAUCGCAUGAUACAGCAAUUAAAGGAGCAAUCCGCUAUGAGAUGGGCCCGCGGCGCAUUAGCUAGUUGGUGAGGUAACGGCUCACCAAGGCGACGAUGCGUAGCCGACCUGAGAGGGUGAUCGGCAACUGUGGGAGGGAACCCGGCCCAAGCCCCCUCGGGGAGGAGGCGGUGGGGAAUUUUGCAAAAGGGGGGAACCCGUGAUGCAGCACCCCCGGGGGAGUGAUGAGGGCCUGGGGGUGGAAAAGCUCUUUUUUCAGGGAAGAUAAGGGCGGGCCCUGAGGAGAAAACCACGGCAACCCCCGCC
RNAcentral lists this ribosomal RNA (464 nucleotides) under uncultured bacterium. RNAcentral describes it as "partial 16S ribosomal RNA". It matches the Rfam family "Bacterial small subunit ribosomal RNA", at positions 28 to 507 of the family's 1533-position model. The record is from RNAcentral.